GACGAACGCUGGCGGCGUGCUUAACACAUGCAAGUCGAACGGAGCGAAUGAAAGCUUGCUUUUAUGAGCUUAGUGGCAAACGGGUGAGUAACACGUAGACAACCUGCCGAUCAGAUGGGGACAACAUUCCGAAAGGAAUGCUAAUACCGAAUGGCGUGUAGGGGAGGCAUCUUCCCUACAUGAAAGAUGGCCUCUAUAUAUAAGCUAUCACUGAUCGAUGGGUCUGCGUCUGAUUAGCUAGUAGGUAAGGUAACGGCUUACCUAGGCGACGAUCAGUAGCCGGUCUGAGAGGAUGAACGGCCACAUUGGGACUGAGACACGGCCCAGACUCCUACGGGAGGCAGCAGUGGGGAAUCUUCCGCAAUGGGCGCAAGCCUGACGGAGCAACGCCGCGUGAGUGAAGAAGGUCUUCGGAUCGUAAAGCUCUGUUGAAAGGGGACGAACGUAUAUAAGUG
RNAcentral lists this ribosomal RNA (455 nucleotides) under Selenomonas sp. oral taxon 137. RNAcentral describes it as "bacterial SSU rRNA". It matches the Rfam family "Bacterial small subunit ribosomal RNA", at positions 28 to 462 of the family's 1533-position model. The record is from RNAcentral. Lineage: Bacteria; Bacillati; Bacillota; Negativicutes; Selenomonadales; Selenomonadaceae.